UUCUAUGCUCCAACCUGAGACUCACUAUUGAGGAAGUGAAGUUGUUAGGGUUUGACCCUUUGAAAGCUGAGUUUCACUUUGGUGCUUCAAGCUAAAAGGGCUAUUUCGAAACCCCUUUGGGAUGUCAAAGUCGACGGCUUGAAAAAAUGGGGUUGGUUUGAGGAUGAUAAAGGGUCCCAGGAACAUGGCGGUGGAUGUUGGGAGUUUUAAGUGUGCCAGCAAUAGUUCAGGUUUUCCUCAUGCUUUUACUGCUUGAGUCCCUCAGACGAAUAUUUAUAAAGGAUGCUUGCAGCAACAUUAAAAAGGGGAGGAACUAGGAAGACUUUGUGAAUGUGGAGAAAACUCUAAAAAAGAGGUUGAGGAUUUGGAGAAAAUCCCACGCAAAGAAGAAGAACGAUAUGGGAGUGUCACCGCACAGCGCCGACGACGUCUUCGGUUGCACUGCAGUGGAGCGGUGGUUGGUGUUCGCGUUGCUCCUUGGUUCCUGGGUGAAGAAGAAAACCCUAGUUAUUUUGAAAUAUUAGGUGUACUUUUUUCCUUUUACAUUAACAUUGUCAUGUCAAUUAGGUCACAAUUGCCACGUAAUGAAAAAUUGUACAGGUCAUUCAUUGUUGUCUAAGUUGGACAUUAUGCCAUAAGCAAAAAUGACCAGCUUGAACCGUUUUUAUAA
Molecule: long non-coding RNA, 670 nt
Organism: Vigna angularis (adzuki bean)
Lineage: Eukaryota; Viridiplantae; Streptophyta; Magnoliopsida; Fabales; Fabaceae
Exons: 3
Source: RefSeq, a predicted model, not a curated record